CUCAUCCAAAGUCCACAUGCUCUGUAAUAUGCUGGUAAAUCUUGCGCCUUCAUUCAGCGGCAUGAGUGUUGGGGAUUCCGGGAGGAGGGAUAGUGCCCAAUUCAUCAUGGCAUUCGUCCCUGCCUGAACCCGAAGCACCCCCACACCAAAUAUAUGUACCCAGGUCUCCGGGAAGAGGUGGCAGUCAUUGCACUAAGGGAAGGGGGGUAAGCCUGAGAGGUGCACUUUGGUGGAAGCAUGGUCACCCAGGGUAGACCCGUGUUCCCUUGAACUCCCCACCCAAAGCCCUUUGUGUAUAGUCCCGGCAUACCUGCAAUUGUCCCAGUCUAAGUUAGUAGCUCUGCUCCGUUAAUAGGGAUCGAAGUGACUUUCUUCGGAGGGUGGUUUUUAGGUGCUUGUUGAGAGGCCACGUGACUCGGGAUGCUAAGAGGUGUUUGACGGGUCAGGUGGGUCUGCACUCACUCUUCCGGGGAAGUCGGGUUUCUGCGCCGUCUGGCAGGCUGAACAGAGGGGGAC
Pelobates cultripes (western spadefoot toad) is the source of this 516-nucleotide non-coding RNA. The record is from the annotation of a GenBank genome assembly. Lineage: Eukaryota; Metazoa; Chordata; Amphibia; Anura; Pelobatidae.